RNAcentral lists this ribosomal RNA (491 nucleotides) under uncultured bacterium. Its description in RNAcentral is "bacterial SSU rRNA". It matches the Rfam family "Bacterial small subunit ribosomal RNA", at positions 30 to 514 of the family's 1533-position model. The record is from RNAcentral.
AUUGAACGCUGGCGGAAUGCUUUACACAUGCAAGUCGAACGGCAGCACGGACUUCGGUCUGGUGGCGAGUGGCGAACGGGUGAGUAAUGUAUCGGAACGUGCCCAGUCGUGGGGGAUAACGUAGUGAAAAUUACGCUAAUACCGCAUACGAUCUAUGGAUGAAAGCGGGGGAUCGCAAGACCUCGCGCGAUUGGAGCGGCCGAUAUCAGAUUAGGUAGUUGGUAGGGUAAAGGCCUACCAAGCCAACGAUCUGUAGCUGGUCUGAGAGGACGACCAGCCACACUGGAACUGAGACACGGUCCAGACUCCUACGGGAGGCAGCAGUGGGGAAUUUUGGACAAUGGGCGAAAGCCUGAUCCAGCCAUUCCGCGUGCAGGAUGAAGGCCCUCGGGUUGUAAACUGCUUUUGUACGGAACGAAAAGGUUUCUCUUAAUACGAGGAGCUCAUGACGGUACCGUAAGAAUAAGCACCGGCUAACUACGUGCCAGCAG